GCGGCUUCAAAACUGAGGGGUGGUCACCCUAAUCCUGGACGAGCCCCCAAAUGAGAGGUUCCCGAGAGGGGAGACUCCUCAAGUCACAGGCGACGAUGCAAACCCCAAUCAGUCACGA
Molecule: microRNA precursor, 118 nt
Filed under: Procavia capensis (Cape rock hyrax)
Lineage: Eukaryota; Metazoa; Chordata; Mammalia; Hyracoidea; Procaviidae
Description: miRNA (ENSPCAG00000020318.1)
Source: RNAcentral